RNAcentral lists this ribosomal RNA (841 nucleotides) under Staphylococcus warneri. RNAcentral's name for it is "bacterial SSU rRNA". It matches the Rfam family "Bacterial small subunit ribosomal RNA", at positions 1 to 766 of the family's 1533-position model. Lineage: Bacteria; Bacillati; Bacillota; Bacilli; Caryophanales; Staphylococcaceae. The record is from RNAcentral.
CGGCCUGCCCUCUCUAUGUUUGGUGGAGCAGGUAGAGGUAACCCGGGCCGGAAGGCGGGACCAGGUUACCCUAGAGGUAUCCUGGCUCAGGAUGAACGCUGGCGGCGUGCCUAAUACAUGCAAGUCGAGCGAACAGAUAAGGAGCUUGCUCCUUUGACGUUAGCGGCGGACGGGUGAGUAACACGUGGAUAACCUACCUAUAAGACUGGGAUAACUUCGGGAAACCGGAGCUAAUACCGGAUAACAUAUUGAACCGCAUGGUUCAAUAGUGAAAGGCGGCUUUGCUGUCACUUAUAGAUGGAUCCGCGCCGUAUUAGCUAGUUGGUAAGGUAACGGCUUACCAAGGCAACGAUACGUAGCCGACCUGAGAGGGUGAUCGGCCACACUGGAACUGAGACACGGUCCAGACUCCUACGGGAGGCAGCAGUAGGGAAUCUUCCGCAAUGGGCGAAAGCCUGACGGAGCAACGCCGCGUGAGUGAUGAAGGUCUUCGGAUCGUAAAACUCUGUUAUCAGGGAAGAACAAAUGUGUAAGUAACUGUGCACAUCUUGACGGUACCUGAUCAGAAAGCCACGGCUAACUACGUGCCAGCAGCCGCGGUAAUACGUAGGUGGCAAGCGUUAUCCGGAAUUAUUGGGCGUAAAGCGCGCGUAGGCGGUUUUUUAAGUCUGAUGUGAAAGCCCACGGCUCAACCGUGGAGGGUCAUUGGAAACUGGAAAACUUGAGUGCAGAAGAGGAAAGUGGAAUUCCAUGUGUAGCGGUGAAAUGCGCAGAGAUAUGGAGGAACACCAGUGGCGAAGGCGACUUUCGGUCUGUAACGACGCAUGUGGAAAGGUACACU